GUUGGGCAUGGUGGCACAUGCCUGUAAUCCCAGUGGCUUGGGAGGCUGAGGCAGGAGGAUUGAGAGUUCAAAGCCAGCCUCAG
This 83-nucleotide small RNA is filed under the name Marmota monax (woodchuck). Lineage: Eukaryota; Metazoa; Chordata; Mammalia; Rodentia; Sciuridae. The record is from RNAcentral.